CCCGCUGAACUUAAGCAUAUCAAUAAGCGGAGGAAAAGAAACCAACAGGGAUUGCCCUAGUAACGGCGAGUGAAGCGGCAAUAGCUCAAAUUUGAAAUCUGGCCCUCGUGGUCCGAGUUGUAAUUUGUAGAGGAUGCUUUUGGUGCGGUGCCUUCCGAGUUCCCUGGAACGGGACGCCAAAGAGGGUGAGAGCCCCGUACGGUUGGACACCUACCCUAUAUAUAGCUCCUUCGACGAGUCGAGUAGUUUGGGAAUGCUGCUCUAAAUGGGAGGUAAAUUUCUUCUAAAGCUAAAUACCGGCCAGAGACCGAUAGCGCACAAGUAGAGUGAUCGAAAGAUGAAAAGCACUUUGAAAAGAGGGUUAAAUAGCACGUGAAAUUGUUGAAAGGGAAGCGUUUGCGACCAGACCUUUUCCAGGGGGAUCAUCCGGUGUUCUCACCGGUGCACUUCCCUUGGUUUAGGCCAGCAUCGGUUUUCUUAGGGGGAUAAAGGCUUAGGGAACGUAGCUCUUUCGGGAGUGUUAUAGCCCUUUGCGUAAUACCCCUCGGGGGACCGAGGACCGCGCUCUGCAAGGAUGCUGGCGUAAUGGUCGUCAACGACCCGUCUUGAAACACGG
Molecule: ribosomal RNA, 616 nt
Filed under: uncultured fungus
Lineage: Eukaryota; Fungi
Description: eukaryotic LSU rRNA
Rfam family: Eukaryotic large subunit ribosomal RNA
Source: RNAcentral